RNAcentral lists this ribosomal RNA (1567 nucleotides) under uncultured Shigella sp. Its description in RNAcentral is "bacterial SSU rRNA". It matches the Rfam family "Bacterial small subunit ribosomal RNA". The record is from RNAcentral. Lineage: Bacteria; Pseudomonadati; Pseudomonadota; Gammaproteobacteria; Enterobacterales; Enterobacteriaceae.
CCCAUCUUUACUCGCGAUGCAUCUAGAUUAGAGUUUGAUCAUGGCUCAGAUUGAACGCUGGCGGCAGGCCUAACACAUGCAAGUCGAACGGUAACAGGAAGAAGCUUGCUUCUUUGCUGACGAGUGGCGGACGGGUGAGUAAUGUCUGGGAAACUGCCUGAUGGAGGGGGAUAACUACUGGAAACGGUAGCUAAUACCGCAUAACGUCGCAAGACCAAAGAGGGGGACCUUCGGGCCUCUUGCCAUCGGAUGUGCCCAGAUGGGAUUAGCUAGUAGGUGGGGUAACGGCUCACCUAGGCGACGAUCCCUAGCUGGUCUGAGAGGAUGACCAGCCACACUGGAACUGAGACACGGUCCAGACUCCUACGGGAGGCAGCAGUGGGGAAUAUUGCACGAUGGGCGCAAGCCUGAUGCAGCCAUGCCGCGUGUAUGAAGAAGGCCUUCGGGUUGUAAAGUACUUUCAGCGGGGAGGAAGGGAGUAAAGUUAAUACCUUUGCUCAUUGACGUUACCCGCAGAAGAAGCACCGGCUAACUCCGUGCCAGCAGCCGCGGUAAUACGGAGGGUGCAAGCGUUAAUCGGAAUUACUGGGCGUAAAGCGCACGCAGGCGGUUUGUUAAGUCAGAUGUGAAAUCCCCGGGCUCAACCUGGGAACUGCAUCUGAUACUGGCAAGCUUGAGUCUCGUAGAGGGGGGUAGAAUUCCAGGUGUAGCGGUGAAAUGCGUAGAGAUCUGGAGGAAUACCGGUGGCGAAGGCGGCCCCCUGGACGAAGACUGACGCUCAGGUGCGAAGCGUGGGGAGCAAACAGGAUUAGAUACCCCCGGUAGUCCACGCUGUAAACGAUGUCGACUUGGAGGUUGUGCCCUUGAGGCGUGGCUUCCGGAGCUAACGCGUUAAGUCGACCGCCUGGGGAGUACGGCCGCAAGGUUAAAACUCAAAUGAAAUUGACGGGGGCCCGCACAAAGCGGUGGAGCAUGUGGUUUAAUUCGAUGCAACGCGAAGAACCUUACCUGGUCUUGACAUCCACGGAAGUUUUCAGAGAUGAGAAUGUGCCUUCGGGAACCGUGAGACAGGUGCUGCAUGGCUGUCGUCAGCUCGUGUUGUGAAAUGUUGGGUUAAGUCCCGCAACGAGCGCAACCCUUAUCCUUUGUUGCCAGCGGUCCGGCCGGGAACUCAAAGGAGACUGUUAGUGAUAAACUGGAGGAAGGUGGGGAUGACGUCAAGUCAUCAUGGCCCUUACGACCAGGGCUACACACGUGCUACAAUGGCGCAUACAAAGAGAAGCGACCUCGCGAGAGCAAGCGGACCUCAUAAAGUGCGUCGUAGUCCGGAUUGGAGUCUGCAACUCGACUCCAUGAAGUCGGAAUCGCUAGUAAUCGUGGAUCAGAAUGCCACGGUGAAUACGUUCCCGGGCCUUGUACACACCGCCCGUCACACCAUGGGAGUGGGUUGCAAAAGAAGUAGGUAGCUUAACCUUCGGGAGGGCGCUUACCACUUUGUGAUUCAUGACUGGGGUGAAGUCGUAACAAGGUAACCGUAGGGGAACCUGUGGAUGGAUCACCUCCUUAA